GAACGCCGGCGGCGUGCUAACACAUGCAAGUCGAGCGGAGAUACAUGUCUAGGAGAUUCGGUCGAAUUAAUUGUAUCUUAGCGGCGGGAUGGGUGAGGAACGCGUGGAGAACCUGCCCUUCACAGGGGGAUAACAGCUGGAAACGGCUGUUAAUACCGCAUAUGCUCACAGGAUCGCAUGAUCCAGGGAGGAAAGCCGAGACGGUGAAGGAUGGCUCCGCGUCGGAUUAGCCAGUUGGCGGGGUAACGGCCCACCAAAGCGAUGAUCCGUAGCCGGCCUGAGAGGGCGACCGGCCACAUUGGGACUGAGACACGGCCCAAACUCCUACGGGAGGCAGCAGUGGGGGAUAUUGCACAAUGGGGGAAACCCUGAUGCAGCGAACCGCCGCGUGAAGGAGGAAGUGCUUCGGCAUGUAAACUUCUAUCAGCAGGGAAGAAGAUGACGGUACCUGACUAAGAAGCCCCGGCUAACUACGUGCCAGCAGCUGC
This 488-nucleotide ribosomal RNA is filed under the name uncultured bacterium. Its description in RNAcentral is "bacterial SSU rRNA". It matches the Rfam family "Bacterial small subunit ribosomal RNA", at positions 31 to 518 of the family's 1533-position model. The record is from RNAcentral.